Non-coding RNA from Acanthosepion pharaonis, 110 nucleotides. The record is from the annotation of a GenBank genome assembly. NCBI's taxonomy places the organism in Eukaryota, Metazoa, Mollusca, Cephalopoda, Sepiida, Sepiidae.
CGGCGAUAUCAUGUUGAAACACCGGUUCUCGUACAAUCACCGAAGUUAAGCAACAUCGAGCCUGGUCAGUACAUAGAUGGGUGAUCGUUUGGGUAUACUAGGUGAUGUAA